GGGUAACCUGCCCUAUACACACGGAUAACAUACCGAAAGGUAUGCUAAUACGGGAUAAUGUAUUUUGAUCGCAUGGUCGAAAUAUCAAAGCUCCGGCGGUAUAGGAUGGACCCGCGUCUGAUUAGCUAGUUGGUAAGGUAAUGGCUUACCAAGGCGACGAUCAGUAGCCGACCUGAGAGGGUGAUCGGCCACAUUGGAACUGAGACACGGUCCAAACUCCUACGGGAGGCAGCAGUGGGGAAUAUUGCACAAUGGGCGAAAGCCUGAUGCAGCAACGCCGCGUGAGCGAUGAAGGCCUUCGGGUCGUAAAGCUCUGUCCUCAAGGAAGAUAAUGACGGUACUUGAGGAGGAAGCCCCGGCUAACUACGUGCCAGCAGCCGCGGUAAUACGUAGGGGGCUAGCGUUAUCCGGAAUUACUGGGCGUAAAGGGUGCGUAGGUGGUUUCUUAAGUCAGAGGUGAAAGGCUACGGCUCAACCGUAGUAAGCCUUUGAAACUGAGAAACUUGAGUGCAGGAGAGGAGAGUAGAAUUCCUAGUGUAGCGGUGAAAUGCGUAGAUAUUA
RNAcentral lists this ribosomal RNA (561 nucleotides) under uncultured Clostridium sp. RNAcentral's name for it is "bacterial SSU rRNA". It matches the Rfam family "Bacterial small subunit ribosomal RNA", at positions 119 to 699 of the family's 1533-position model. Lineage: Bacteria; Bacillati; Bacillota; Clostridia; Eubacteriales; Clostridiaceae. The record is from RNAcentral.